GGGUUAGGGUUAGGGUUAGGGUUGGAGUUAGGGUUAGUGUUGGAGCUAGGGUUAGGGUUGGGCUUGGAGCUAGGAUUUUUCUGAGUGCACUGAACCAACUCCCGAGUCUCUAGGACGUUCCUAAAAAAAUUUGAUUUUUUCCCAUAGGAAUGCAUGGGUUAGGGUUAUGGUUAGGGUUGGAGCUAGGGUUAGGGUUAGGGUUAGGGUUGGAGUUAGGGUUAGUGUUGGAGCUAGGGUUAGGGUUUGGCUUGGAGCUAGGACUUUUCUGAGUGCAAUGAACCAACUCCCGAGUCUCUUGGACGUUCCCUAAAAAAAUUUGAUUUUUUCCCAUAGGAAUGCAUGGGUUAGGGUUAGGGUUAGGGUUGGAGCUAGGGUUAGGGUUAGGGUUAGGGUUGGAGUUAGGGUUAGUGUUGGAGCUAGGGUUAGGGUUGGGCUUGGAGCUAGGAUUUUUCUGAGUGCAAUGAACCAACUCCCGAGUCUCUAGGACGUUCCUAAAAAAAUUUGAUUUUUUCCCAUAGGAAUGCAUGGGUUAGGGUUAUGGUUAGGGUUGGAGCUAGGGUUAGGGUUAGGGUUAGGGUUGGAGUUAGGGUUAGUGUUGGAGCUAGGGUUAGGGUUGGGCUUGGAGCUAGGAUUUUUCUGAGUCCAGUGAACCAACUCCCGAGUCUCUAGGACGUUCCUAAAAAAAUUUGAUUUUUUCCCAUAGGAAUGCAUGGGUUAGGGUUAGGGUUAGGGUUGGAGCUAGGGUUAGGGUUAGGGUUAGGGUUGGAGUUAGGGUUAGUGUUGGAGCUAGGGUUAGGGUUGGGCUUGGAGCUAGGAUUUUUCUGAGUGCACUGAACCAACUCCCGAGUCUCUAGGACAUUCCUAAAAAAAUUUGAUUUUUUCCCAUAGGAAUGCAUGGUUUAGGGUUAUGGUUAGGGUUAGGGUUGGAGCUAGGGUUAGGGUUAGGGUUAGGGUUGGAGUUAGGGUUAGUGUUGGAGCUAGGGUUAGGGUUGGGCUUGGAGCUAGGACUUUUCUGAGUGCAAUGAACCAACUCCCGAGUCUCUAGGACGUUCCCUAAAAAAAUUUGAUUUUUUCCCAUAGGAAUGCAUGGGUUAGGGUUAGGGUUAGGGUUGGAGCUAGGGUUAGGGUUAGGGUUAGGGUUGGAGUUAGGGUUAGUGUUGGAGCUAGGGUUAGGGUUGGGCUUGGAGCUAGGAUUUUUCUGAGUGCACUGAACCAACUCCCGAGUCUCUAGGACAUUCCUAAAAAAAUUUGAUUUUUUCCCAUAGGAAUGCAUGGGUUAGGGUUAUGGUUAGGGUUAGGGUUGGAGCUAGGGUUAGGGUUAGGGUUAGGGUUGGAGUUAGGGUUAGUGUUGGAGCUAGGGUUAGGGUUGGGCUUGGAGCUAGGAUUUUUCUGAGUGCACUGAACCAACUCCCGAGUCUCUAGGACAUUCCUAAAAAAAUUUGAUUUUUUUCCCAUAGGAAUGCAUGGGUUAGGGUUAGGGUUAGGGUUAGGGUUGGAGCUAGGGUUAGGGUUAGGGUUAGGGUUGGAGUUAGGGUUAGUGUUGGAGCUAGGGUUAGGGUUGGGCUUGGAGCUAGGAUUUUUCUGAGUGCACUGAACCAACUCCCGAGUCUCUAGGACACUCCUAAAAAAAUUUGAUUUUUUCCCAUAGGAAUGCAUGGGUUAGGGUUAGGGUUAGGGUUAGGGUUGGAGCUAGGGUUAGGGUUAGGGUUAGGGUUGGAGUUAGGGUUAGUGUUGGAGCUAGGGUUAGGGUUGGGCUUGGAGCUAGGAUUUUUCUGAGUGCACUGAACCAACUCCCGAGUCUCUAGGACAUUCCUAAAAAAAUUUGAUUUUUUCCCAUAGGAAUGCAUGGGUUAGGGUUAUGGUUAGGGUUAGGGUUGGAGCUAGGAUUUUUCUGAGUGCACUGAACCAACUCCCGAGUCUCUAGGACAUUCCUAAAAAAAUUUGAUUUUUUCCCAUAGGAAUGCAUGGGUUAGGGUUAGGGUUAGGGUUAGGGUUGGAGCUAGGGUUAGGGUUAGGGUUAGGGUUGGAGUUAGGGUUAGUGUUGGAGCUAGGGUUAGGGUUGGGCUUGGAGCUAGGAUUUUUCUGAGUGCACUGAACCAACUCCCGAGUCUCUAGGACAUUCCUAAAAAAAUUUGAGUUUUUCCCAUAGGAAUGCAUGGGUUAGGGUUAGGGUUAGGGUUGGAGCUAGGGUUAGGGUUAGGGUUAGGGUUGGAGUUAGGGUUAGUGUUGGAGCUAGGGUUAGGGUUGGGCUUGGAGCUAGGAUUUUUCUGAGUGCACUGAACCAACUCCCGAGUCUCUAGGACAUUCCUAAAAAAAUUUGAUUUUUUCCCAUAGGAAUGCAUGGGUUAGGGUUAUGGUUAGGGUUAGGGUUGGAGCUAGGGUUAGGGUUAGGGUUAGGGUUGGAGUUAGAGUUAGUGUUGGAGCUAGGGUUAGGGUUGGGCUUGGAGCUAGGAUUUUUCUGAGUGCACUGAACCAACUCCCGAGUCUCUAGGACAUUCCUAAAAAAAAUUGAUUUUUUCCCAUAGGAAUGCAUGGGUUAGGGUUAUGGUUAGGGUUAGGGUUGGAGCUAGGGUUAGGGUUAGGGUUAGGGUUGGAGUUAGGGUUAGUGUUGGAGUUAGGGUUAGGGUUGGGCUUGGAGCUAGGAUUUUUCUGAGUGCAGUGAACCAACUCCCGAGUCUCUAGGACGUUCCUAAAAAAAUUUGAUUUUUUCCCAUAGGAAUGCAUGGGUUAGGGUUAGGGUUAGGGUUGGAGCUAGGGUUAGGGUUAGGGUUAGGGUUGGAGUUAGGGUUAGUGUUGGAGCUAGGGUUAGGGUUGGGCUUGGAGCUAGGAUUUUUCUGAGUGCACUGAACCAACUCCCGAGUCUCUAGGACAUUCCUAAAAAAAUUUGAUUUUUUUCCCAUAGGAAUGCAUGGGUUAGGGUUAUGGUUAGGGUUAGGGUUGGAGCUAGGGUUAGGGUUAGGGUUAGGGUUGGAGUUAGGGUUAGUGUUGGAGCUAGGGUUAGGGUUGGGCUUGGAGCUAGGAUUUUUCUGAGUGCACUGAACCAACUCCCGAGUCUCUAGGACAUUCCUAAAAAAUUUGAUUUUUUCCCAUAGGAAUGCAUGGGUUAGGGUUAUGGUUAGGGUUAGGGUUGGAGCUAGGGUUAGGGUUAGGGUUAGGGUUGGAGUUAGGGUUAGUGUUGGAGCUAGGGUUAGGGUUGGGCUUGGAGCUAGGAUUUUUCUGAGUGCACUGAACCAACUCCCGAGUCUCUAGGACAUUCCUAAAAAAAUUUGAUUUUUUCCCAUAGGAAUGCAUGGGUUAGGGUUAUGGUUAGGGUUAGGGUUUGAGCUAGGGUUAGGGUUAGGGUUAGGGUUGGAGUUAGGGUUAGUGUUGGAGCUAGGGUUAGGGUUGGGCUUGGAGCUAGGAUUUUUCUGAGUGCACUGAACCAACUCCCGAGUCUCUAGGACAUUCCUAAAAAAAUUUGAUUUUUCCCAUAGGAAUGCAUGGGUUAGGGUUAGGGUUAGGGUUGGAGCUAGGGUUAGGGUUAGGGUUAGGGUUGGAGUUAGGGUUAGUGUUGGAGCUAGGGUUAGGGUUGGGCUUGGAGCUAGGAUUUUUCUGAGUGCACUGAACCAACUCCCGAGUCUCUAGGACAUUCCUAAAAAAAUUUGAUUUUUUCCCAUAGGAAUGCAUGGGUUAGGGUUAUGGUUAGGGUUAGGGUUGGAGCUAGGGUUAGGGUUAGGGUUAGGGUUGGAGUUAGGGUUAGUGUUGGAGCUAGGGUUAGGGUUGGGCUUGGAGCUAGGAUUUUUCUGAGUGCACUGAACCAACUCCCGAGUCUCUAGGACAUUCCUAAAAAAAAUUGAUUUUUUCCCAUAGGAAUGCAUGGGUUAGGGUUAUGGUUAGGGUUAGGGUUGGAGCUAGGGUUAGGGUUAGGGUUAGGGUUGGAGUUAGGGUUAGUGUUGGAGUUAGGGUUAGGGUUGGGCUUGGAGCUAGGAUUUUUCUGAGUGCACUGAACCAACUCCCGAGUCUCUAGGACAUUCCUAAAAAAAUUUGAUUUUUUCCCAUAGGAAUGCAUGGUUUAGGGUUAUGGUUAGGGUUAGGGUUGGAGCUAGGGUUAGGGUUAGGGUUAGGGUUGGAGUUAGGGUUAGUGUUGGAGCUAGGGUUAGGGUUGGGCUUGGAGCUAGGAUUUUUCUGAGUGCACUGAACCAACUCCCGAGUCUCUAGGACAUUCCUAAAAAAAUUUGAUUUUUUUCCCAUAGGAAUGCAUGGGUUAGGGUUAUGGUUAGGGUUAGGGUUGGAGCUAGGGUUAGGGUUAGGGUUAGGGUUGGAGUUAGGGUUAGUGUUGGAGCUAGGGUUAGGGUUGGGCUUGGAGCUAGGAUUUUUCUGAGUGCACUGAACCAACUCCCGAGUCUCUAGGACAUUCCUAAAAAAAUUUGAUUUUUUCCCAUAGGAAUGCAUGGGUUAGGGUUAUGGUUAGGGUUAGGGUUGGAGCUAGGGUUAGGGUUAGGGUUAGGGUUGGAGUUAGGGUUAGUGUUGGAGCUAGGGUUAGGGUUGGGCUUGGAGCUAGGAUUUUUCUGAGUGCACUGAACCAACUCCCGAGUCUCUAGGACAUUCCUAAAAAAAUUUGAUUUUUUCCCAUAGGAAUGCAUGGGUUAGGGUUAUGGUUAGGGUUAGGGUUUGAGCUAGGGUUAGGGUUAGGGUUAGGGUUGGAGUUAGGGUUAGUGUUGGAGCUAGGGUUAGGGUUGGGCUUGGAGCUAGGAUUUUUCUGAGUGCACUGAACCAACUCCCGAGUCUCUAGGACAUUCCUAAAAAAAUUUGAUUUUUUCCCAUAGGAAUGCAUGGGUUAGGGUUAGGGUUAGGGUUGGAGCUAGGGUUAGGGUUAGGGUUGGAGUUAGGGUUAGUGUUGGAGCUAGGGUUAGGGUUGGGCUUGGAGCUAGGAUUUUUCUGAGUGCACUGAACCAACUCCCGAGUCUCUAGGACAUUCCUAAAAAAAUUGAUUUUUUCCCAUAGGAAUGCAUGGGUUAGGGUUAUGGUUAGGGUUAGGGUUGGAGCUAGGGUUAGGGUUAGGGUUAGGGUUGGAGUUAGGGUUAGUGUUGGAGCUAGGGUUAGGGUUGGGCUUGGAGCUAGGAUUUUUCUGAGUGCACUGAACCAACUCCCGAGUCUCUAGGACAUUCCUAAAAAAAUUUGAUUUUUUUCCCAUAGGAAUGCAUGGGUUAGGGUUAUGGUUAGGGUUAGGGUUGGAGCUAGGGUUAGGGUUAGGGUUAGGGUUGGAGUUAGGGUUAGUGUUGGAGCUAGGGUUAGGGUUGGGCUUGGAGCUAGGAUUUUUCUGAGUGCACUGAACCAACUCCCGAGUCUCUAGGACGUUCCUAAAAAAAUUUGAUUUUUUCCCAUAGGAAUGCAUGGGUUAGGGUUAUGGUUAGGGUUAGGGUUGGAGCUAGGGUUAGGGUUAGGGUUAGGGUUGGAGUUAGGGUUAGUGUUGGAGCUAGGGUUAGGGUUGGGCUUGGAGCUAGGAUUUUUCUGAGUGCACUGAACCAACUCCCGAGUCUCUAGGACAUUCCUAAAAAAAUUUGAGUUUUUCCCAUAGGAAUUUAUGGGUUAGGGUUAGGGUUAGGGUUGGAGCUAGGGUUAGGGUUAGGGUUAGGGUUGGAGUUAGGGUUAGUGUUGGAGCUAGGGUUAGGGUUGGGCUUGGAGCUAGGAUUUUUCUGAGUGCACUGAACCAACUCCCGAGUCUCUAGGACAUUCCUAAAAAAAUUUGAUUUUUUCCCAUAGGAAUGCAUGGGUUAGGGUUAUGGUUAGGGUUAGGGUUGGAGCUAGGGUUAGGGUUAGGGUUAGGGUUGGAGUUAGGGUUAGUGUUGGAGCUAGGGUUAGGGUUGGGCUUGGAGCUAGGAUUUUUCUGAGUGCACUGAACCAACUCCCGAGUCUCUAGGACAUUCCUAAAAAAAUUUGAUUUUUUCCCAUAGGAAUGCAUGGGUUAGGGUUAUGGUUAGGGUUAGGGUUGGAGCUAGGGUUAGGGUUAGGGUUAGGGUUGGAGUUAGGGUUAGUGUUGGAGCUAGGGUUAGGGUUGGGCUUGGAGCUAGGAUUUUUCUGAGUGCACUGAACCAACUCCCGAGUCUCUAGGACAUUCCUAAAAAAUUUGAUUUUUUCCCAUAGGAAUGCAUGGGUUAGGGUUAUGGUUAGGGUUAGGGUUGGAGCUAGGGUUAGGGUUAGGGUUAGGGUUGGAGUUAGGGUUAGUGUUGGAGCUAGGGUUAGGGUUGGGCUUGGAGCUAGGAUUUUUCUGAGUGCACUGAACCAACUCCCGAGUCUCUAGGACAUUCCUAAAAAAAUUUGAUUUUUUCCCAUAGGAAUGCAUGGGUUAGGGUUAGGGUUAGGGUUGGAGCUAGGGUUAGGGUUAGGGUUAGGGUUGGAGAUAGGGUUAGUGUUGGAGCUAGGGUUAGGGUUGGGCUUGGAGCUAGGAUUUUUCUGAGUCCACUGAACCAACUCCCGAGUCUCUAGGACGUUCCUAAAAAAAUUUGAUUUUUUCCCAUAGGAAUGCAUGGGUUAGGGUUAGGGUUAGGGUUGGAGCUAGGGUUAGGGUUAGGGUUAGGGUUGGAGUUAGGGUUAGUGUUGGAGCUAGGGUUAGGGUUGGGCUUGGAGCUAGGAUUUUUCUGAGUGCACUGAACCAACUCCCGAGUCUCUAGGACAUUCCUAAAAAAAUUUGAUUUUUUCCCAUAGGAAUGCAUGGGUUAGGGUUAGGGUUAGGGUUGGAGCUAGGGUUAGGGUUAGGGUUAGGGUUGGAGUUAGGGUUAGUGUUGGAGCUAGGGUUAGGGUUGGGCUUGGAGCUAGGAUUUUUCUGAGUGCACUGAACCAACUCCCGAGUCUCUAGGACAUUCCUAAAAAAAUUUGAGUUUUUCCCAUAGGAAUGCAUGGGUUAGGGUUAGGGUUAGGGUUGGAGCUAGGGUUAGGGUUAGGGUUAGGGUUGGAGUUAGGGUUAGUGUUGGAGCUAGGGUUAGGGUUGGGCUUGGAGCUAGGAUUUUUCUGAGUGCACUGAACCAACUCCCGAGUCUCUAGGACAUUCCUAAAAAAAUUUGAUUUUUUCCCAUAGGAAUGCAUGGGUUAGGGUUAUGGUUAGGGUUAGGGUUGGAGCUAGGGUUAGGGUUAGGGUUAGGGUUGGAGUUAGAGUUAGUGUUGGAGCUAGGGUUAGGGUUGGGCUUGGAGCUAGGAUUUUUCUGAGUGCACUGAACCAACUCCCGAGUCUCUAGGACGUUCCUAAAAAAAUUUGAUUUUUUCCCAUAGGAAUGCAUGGGUUAGGGUUAGGGUUAGGGUUGGAGCUAGGGUUAGGGUUAGGGUUAGGGUUGGAGUUAGGGUUAGUGUUGGAGCUAGGGUUAGGGUUGGGCUUGGAGCUAGGAUUUUUCUGAGUGCACUGAACCAACUCCCGAGUCUCUAGGACAUUCCUAAAAAAAUUUGAUUUUUUCCCAUAGGAAUGCAUGGGUUAGGGUUAGGGUUAGGGUUGGAGCUAGGGUUAGGGUUAGGGUUAGGGUUGGAGUUAGGGUUAGUGUUGGAGCUAGGGUUAGGGUUGGGCUUGGAGCUAGGAUUUUUCUGAGUGCACUGAACCAACUCCCGAGUCUCUAGGACAUUCCUAAAAAAAUUUGAGUUUUUCCCAUAGGAAUGCAUGGGUUAGGGUUAGGGUUAGGGUUGGAGCUAGGGUUAGGGUUAGGGUUAGGGUUGGAGUUAGGGUUAGUGUUGGAGCUAGGGUUAGGGUUGGGCUUGGAGCUAGGAUUUUUCUGAGUGCACUGAACCAACUCCCGAGUCUCUAGGACAUUCCUAAAAAAAUUUGAUUUUUUUCCCAUAGGAAUGCAUGGUUUAGGGUUAUGGUUAGGGUUAGGGUUGGAGCUAGGGUUAGGGUUAGGGUUAGGGUUGGAGUUAGAGUUAGUGUUGGAGCUAGGGUUAGGGUUGGGCUUGGAGCUAGGAUUUUUCUGAGUGCACUGAACCAACUCCCGAGUCUCUAGGACGUUCCUAAAAAAAUUUGAUUUUUUCCCAUAGGAAUGCAUGGGUUAGGGUUAUGGUUAGGGUUAGGGUUGGAGCUAGGGUUAGGGUUAGGGUUAGGGUUGGAGUUAGGGUUAGUGUUGGAGCUAGGGUUAGGGUUGGGCUUGGAGCUAGGAUUUUUCUGAGUGCACUGAACCAACUCCCGAGUCUCUAGGACGUUCCUAAAAAAAUUUGAUUUUUUCCCAUAGGAAUGCAUGGGUUAGGGUUAGGGUUAGGGUUGGAGCUAGGGUUAGGGUUAGGGUUAGGGUUGGAGUUAGGGUUAGUGUUGGAGCUAGGGUUAGGGUUGGGCUUGGAGCUAGGAUUUUUCUGAGUGCACUGAACCAACUCCCGAGUCUCUAGGACAUUCCUAAAAAAAUUUGAUUUUUUCCCAUAGGAAUGCAUGGGUUAGGGUUAGGGUUAGGGUUGGAGCUAGGGUUAGGGUUAGGGUUGCAGUUAGGGUUAGUGUUGGAGCUAGGGUUAGGGUUGGGCUUGGAGCUAGGAUUUUUCUGAGUGCACUGAACCAACUCCCGAGUCUCUAGGACAUUCCUAAAAAAAUUUGAUUUUUUCCCAUAGGAAUGCAUGGGUUAGGGUUAUGGUUAGGGUUAGGGUUGGAGCUAGGGUUAGGGUUAGGGUUAGGGUUGGAGUUAGAGUUAGUGUUGGAGCUAGGGUUAGGGUUGGGCUUGGAGCUAGGAUUUUUCUGAGUGCACUGAACCAACUCCCGAGUCUCUAGGACAUUCCUAAAAAAAUUUGAUUUUUUCCCAUAGGAAUGCAUGGGUUAGGGUUAUGGUUAGGGUUAGGGUUGGAGCUAGGGUUAGGGUUAGGGUUAGGGUUGGAGUUAGGGUUAGUGUUGGAGCUAGGGUUAGGGUUGGGCUUGGAGCUAGGAUUUUUCUGAGUGCACUGAACCAACUCCCGAGUCUCUAGGACGUUCCUAAAAAAUUUGAUUUUUUCCCAUAGGAAUGCAUGGGUUAGGGUUAGGGUUAGGGUUGGAGCUAGGGUUAGGGUUAGGGUUAGGGUUGGAGUUAGGGUUAGUGUUGGAGCUAGGGUUAGGGUUGGGCUUGGAGCUAGGAUUUUUCUGAGUGCACUGAACCAACUCCCGAGUCUCUAGGACAUUCCUAAAAAAAUUUGAUUUUUUUCCCAUAGGAAUGCAUGGGUUAGGGUUAUGGUUAGGGUUAGGGUUGGAGCUAGGGUUAGGGUUAGGGUUAGGGUUGGAGUUAGGGUUAGUGUUGGAGCUAGGGUUAGGGUUGGGCUUGGAGCUAGGAUUUUUCUGAGUGCACUGAACCAACUCCCGAGUCUCUAGGACAUUCCUAAAAAAAUUUGAUUUUUUUCCCAUAGGAAUGCAUGGGUUAGGGUUAUGGUUAGGGUUAGGGUUGGAGCUAGGGUUAGGGUUAGGGUUAGGGUUGGAGUUAGGGUUAGUGUUGGAGCUAGGGUUAGGGUUGGGCUUGGAGCUAGGAUUUUUCUGAGUGCACUGAACCAACUCCCGAGUCUCUAGGACAUUCCUAAAAAAAUUUGAUUUUUUCCCAUAGGAAUGCAUGGGUUAGGGUUAGGGUUAGGGUUGGAGCUAGGGUUAGGGUUAGGGUUAGGGUUGGAGUUAGGGUUAGUGUUGGAGCUAGGGUUAGGGUUGGGCUUGGAGCUAGGAUUUUUCUGAGUGCACUGAACCAACUCCCGAGUCUCUAGGACAUUCCUAAAAAAAUUUGAUUUUUUCCCAUAGGAAUGCAUGGGUUAGGGUUAUGGUUAGGGUUAGGGUUGGAGCUAGGGUUAGGGUUAGGGUUAGGGUUGGAGUUAGGGUUAGUGUUGGAGCUAGGGUUAGGGUUGGGCUUGGAGCUAGGAUUUUUCUGAGUGCACUGAACCAACUCCCGAGUCUCUAGGACAUUCCUAAAAAAAUUUGAUUUUUUCCCAUAGGAAUGCAUGGGUUAGGGUUAUGGUUAGGGUUAGGGUUGGAGCUAGGGUUAGGGUUAGGGUUAGGGUUGGAGUUAGGGUUAGUGUUGGAGCUAGGGUUAGGGUUGGGCUUGGAGCUAGGAUUUUUCUGAGUGCACUGAACCAACUCCCGAGUCUCUAGGACGUUCCUAAAAAAAUUUGAUUUUUUCCCAUAGGAAUGCAUGGGUUAGGGUUAGGGUUAGGGUUGGAGCUAGGGUUAGGGUUAGGGUUAGGGUUGGAGUUAGGGUUAGUGUUGGAGCUAGGGUUAGGGUUGGGCUUGGAGCUAGGAUUUUUCUGAGUGCACUGAACCAACUCCCGAGUCUCUAGGACAUUCCUAAAAAAUUUGAUUUUUUCCCAUAGGAAUGCAUGGGUUAGGGUUAGGGUUAGGGUUGGAGCUAGGGUUAGGGUUAGGGUUGCAGUUAGGGUUAGUGUUGGAGCUAGGGUUAGGGUUGGGCUUGGAGCUAGGAUUUUUCUGAGUGCACUGAACCAACUCCCGAGUCUCUAGGACAUUCCUAAAAAAAUUUGAUUUUUUCCCAUAGGAAUGCAUGGGUUAGGGUUAUGGUUAGGGUUAGGGUUGGAGCUAGGGUUAGGGUUAGGGUUAGGGUUGGAGUUAGGGUUAGUGUUGGAGCUAGGGUUAGGGUUGGGCUUGGAGCUAGGAUUUUUCUGAGUGCACUGAACCAACUCCCGAGUCUCUAGGACGUUCCUAAAAAAAUUUGAUUUUUUCCCAUAGGAAUGCAUGGGUUAGGGUUAGGGUUAGGGUUGGAGCUAGGGUUAGGGUUAGGGUUAGGGUUGGAGUUAGGGUUAGUGUUGGAGCUAGGGUUAGGGUUGGGCUUGGAGCUAGGAUUUUUCUGAGUGCACUGAACCAACUCCCGAGUCUCUAGGACAUUCCUAAAAAAAUUUGAGUUUUUCCCAUAGGAAUUUAUGGGUUAGGGUUAGGGUUAGGGUUGGAGCUAGGGUUAGGGUUAGGGUUAGGGUUGGAGUUAGGGUUAGUGUUGGAGCUAGGGUUAGGGUUGGGCUUGGAGCUAGGAUUUUUCUGAGUGCACUGAACCAACUCCCGAGUCUCUAGGACAUUCCUAAAAAAAUUUGAUUUUUUCCCAUAGGAAUGCAUGGGUUAGGGUUAUGGUUAGGGUUAGGGUUGGAGCUAGGGUUAGGGUUAGGGUUAGGGUUGGAGUUAGGGUUAGUGUUGGAGCUAGGGUUAGGGUUGGGCUUGGAGCUAGGAUUUUUCUGAGUGCACUGAACCAACUCCCGAGUCUCUAGGACAUUCCUAAAAAAAUUUGAUUUUUUCCCAUAGGAAUGCAUGGGUUAGGGUUAUGGUUAGGGUUAGGGUUGGAGCUAGGGUUAGGGUUAGGGUUAGGGUUGGAGUUAGGGUUAGUGUUGGAGCUAGGGUUAGGGUUGGGCUUGGAGCUAGGAUUUUUCUGAGUGCACUGAACCAACUCCCGAGUCUCUAGGACAUUCCUAAAAAAAUUUGAUUUUUUCCCAUAGGAAUGCAUGGGUUAGGGUUAUGGUUAGGGUUAGGGUUGGAGCUAGGGUUAGGGUUAGGGUUAGGGUUGGAGUUAGGGUUAGUGUUGGAGCUAGGGUUAGGGUUGGGCUUGGAGCUAGGAUUUUUCUGAGUGCACUGAACCAACUCCCGAGUCUCUAGGACAUUCCUAAAAAAAUUUGAUUUUUUCCCAUAGGAAUGCAUGGGUUAGGGUUAGGGUUAGGGUUGGAGCUAGGGUUAGGGUUAGGGUUAGGGUUGGAGAUAGGGUUAGUGUUGGAGCUAGGGUUAGGGUUGGGCUUGGAGCUAGGAUUUUUCUGAGUCCACUGAACCAACUCCCGAGUCUCUAGGACGUUCCUAAAAAAAUUUGAUUUUUUCCCAUAGGAAUGCAUGGGUUAGGGUUAGGGUUAGGGUUGGAGCUAGGGUUAGGGUUAGGGUUAGGGUUGGAGUUAGGGUUAGUGUUGGAGCUAGGGUUAGGGUUGGGCUUGGAGCUAGGAUUUUUCUGAGUGCACUGAACCAACUCCCGAGUCUCUAGGACAUUCCUAAAAAAAUUUGAUUUUUUCCCAUAGGAAUGCAUGGGUUAGGGUUAGGGUUAGGGUUGGAGCUAGGGUUAGGGUUAGGGUUAGGGUUGGAGUUAGGGUUAGUGUUGGAGCUAGGGUUAGGGUUGGGCUUGGAGCUAGGAUUUUUCUGAGUGCACUGAACCAACUCCCGAGUCUCUAGGACAUUCCUAAAAAAAUUUGAGUUUUUCCCAUAGGAAUGCAUGGGUUAGGGUUAGGGUUAGGGUUGGAGCUAGGGUUAGGGUUAGGGUUAGGGUUGGAGUUAGGGUUAGUGUUGGAGCUAGGGUUAGGGUUGGGCUUGGAGCUAGGAUUUUUCUGAGUGCACUGAACCAACUCCCGAGUCUCUAGGACAUUCCUAAAAAAUUUGAUUUUUUCCCAUAGGAAUGCAUGGGUUAGGGUUAUGGUUAGGGUUAGGGUUGGAGCUAGGGUUAGGGUUAGGGUUAGGGUUGGAGUUAGAGUUAGUGUUGGAGCUAGGGUUAGGGUUGGGCUUGGAGCUAGGAUUUUUCUGAGUGCACUGAACCAACUCCCGAGUCUCUAGGACGUUCCUAAAAAAAAUUGAUUUUUUCCCAUAGGAAUGCAUGGGUUAGGGUUAGGGUUAGGGUUGGAGCUAGGGUUAGGGUUAGGGUUAGGGUUGGAGUUAGGGUUAGUGUUGGAGCUAGGGUUAGGGUUGGGCUUGGAGCUAGGAUUUUUCUGAGUGCACUGAACCAACUCCCGAGUCUCUAGGACAUUCCUAAAAAAAUUUGAGUUUUUCCCAUAGGAAUGCAUGGGUUAGGGUUAGGGUUAGGGUUGGAGCUAGGGUUAGGGUUAGGGUUAGGGUUGGAGUUAGGGUUAGUGUUGGAGCUAGGGUUAGGGUUGGGCUUGGAGCUAGGAUUUUUCUGAGUGCACUGAACCAACUCCCGAGUCUCUAGGACAUUCCUAAAAAAAUUUGAGUUUUUCCCAUAGGAAUGCAUGGGUUAGGGUUAGGGUUAGGGUUGGAGCUAGGGUUAGGGUUAGGGUUAGGGUUGGAGUUAGGGUUAGUGUUGGAGCUAGGGUUAGGGUUGGGCUUGGAGCUAGGAUUUUUCUGAGUGCACUGAACCAACUCCCGAGUCUCUAGGACAUUCCUAAAAAAAUUUGAUUUUUUUCCCAUAGGAAUGCAUGGUUUAGGGUUAUGGUUAGGGUUAGGGUUGGAGCUAGGGUUAGGGUUAGGGUUAGGGUUGGAGUUAGGGUUAGUGUUGGAGCUAGGGUUAGGGUUGGGCUUGGAGCUAGGAUUUUUCUGAGUGCACUGAACCAACUCCCGAGUCUCUAGGACGUUCCUAAAAAAAUUUGAUUUUUUCCCAUAGGAAUGCAUGGGUUAGGGUUAUGGUUAGGGUUAGGGUUGGAGCUAGGGUUAGGGUUAGGGUUAGGGUUGGAGUUAGGGUUAGUGUUGGAGCUAGGGUUAGGGUUGGGCUUGGAGCUAGGAUUUUUCUGAGUGCACUGAACCAACUCCCGAGUCUCUAGGACGUUCCUAAAAAAAUUUGAUUUUUUCCCAUAGGAAUGCAUGGGUUAGGGUUAGGGUUAGGGUUGGAGCUAGGGUUAGGGUUAGGGUUAGGGUUGGAGUUAGGGUUAGUGUUGGAGCUAGGGUUAGGGUUGGGCUUGGAGCUAGGAUUUUUCUGAGUGCACUGAACCAACUCCCGAGUCUCUAGGACAUUCCUAAAAAAAUUUGAUUUUUUCCCAUAGGAAUGCAUGGGUUAGGGUUAGGGUUAGGGUUGGAGCUAGGGUUAGGGUUAGGGUUGCAGUUAGGGUUAGUGUUGGAGCUAGGGUUAGGGUUGGGCUUGGAGCUAGGAUUUUUCUGAGUGCACUGAACCAACUCCCGAGUCUCUAGGACAUUCCUAAAAAAUUUUGAUUUUUUCCCAUAGGAAUGCAUGGGUUAGGGUUAUGGUUAGGGUUAGGGUUGGAGCUAGGGUUAGGGUUAGGGUUAGGGUUGGAGUUAGAGUUAGUGUUGGAGCUAGGGUUAGGGUUGGGCUUGGAGCUAGGAUUUUUCUGAGUGCACUGAACCAACUCCCGAGUCUCUAGGACAUUCCUAAAAAAAUUUGAUUUUUUCCCAUAGGAAUGCAUGGGUUAGGGUUAUGGUUAGGGUUAGGGUUGGAGCUAGGGUUAGGGUUAGGGUUAGGGUUGGAGUUAGGGUUAGUGUUGGAGCUAGGGUUAGGGUUGGGCUUGGAGCUAGGAUUUUUCUGAGUGCACUGAACCAACUCCCGAGUCUCUAGGACGUUCCUAAAAAAAUUUGAUUUUUUCCCAUAGGAAUGCAUGGGUUAGGGUUAGGGUUAGGGUUGGAGCUAGGGUUAGGGUUAGGGUUAGGGUUGGAGUUAGGGUUAGUGUUGGAGCUAGGGUUAGGGUUGGGCUUGGAGCUAGGAUUUUUCUGAGUGCACUGAACCAAC
Molecule: long non-coding RNA, 14312 nt
Filed under: Xyrichtys novacula (pearly razorfish)
Lineage: Eukaryota; Metazoa; Chordata; Actinopteri; Labriformes; Labridae
Source: RNAcentral